UUGAUUUUGUCGGACCCCACUGCUAUUGAGGUGGGAUUAAGUAAUGUUAGUUGAAUGAUUUGAAUUAUGUUGGGAAGUGGCACACGGCUCAGUAAUAUGUAGCUAACCUAAUUUAAGGAUGGAGAAAAUUUUGGGAAAUUGGGGUUAAUAAUUGAUAGGUAUGAUGUUUUGGAAUGGUAUCAUGCCUAAAGGUGUUUAUAGUAUGUUGUUAAUAUGUUUUAGGAUGGGGCUGUGGUUGAUUAGGUUGUUGGUGAGGUAAUGGCUCACCAAAUUUUUGACCAGUACGGGCCAUGAGAGUGGUAGCCCGGAGAUGGAUAUUGAGAUAAGGGUUUAGGUUUUAUGGAAUGUAGUAUGUGUGAAAUUUUUUUAAUGUAUUUAAGUGUGAAGGGGUUACCUCGAGUGCCACUUGAUGAAGGUGGUUUUUGUAUAGUAUAAUAUGUUAUUUGAAUAAGAGGGGGGUAAGACUGGUGUUAGCCGUUGUGGUAACACCAGCCCCUCGAGUGGUGGGGAUGAUUAUUUGGCCUAAAGCGUCCGUAGCCGGCCAUGUAAGUCUCCCGUUAAAUCCAGCGUUUUAAGUGUUGGAUUGUGGGAGAUACUGCAAGGCUAGAGGGUGGGAGAGGUAUGCGGUAUUUUGGGGGUAGGGGUGAAAUUUUUUGAUUUUUGGAGGAUUAUUAGUGGUGAAGGCUGCAUACUAGAACACGCCUGACGGUUAGGGACGAAAGUUGGGGUAGUGAAUUGGAUUAGAUAUUUGGGUAGUCCCAGCCGUAAAUGAUGUAUGUUAGGUGUUGGGUCGGCUAUGAGCCGCCCCAGUGCCGUAGGGAAGUUGAUAAGCGUGCCGCCUGGGGAGUACGGCCGCAAGGCUGAAACUUAAAGGAAUUGGCGGGGGAGCACCACCAGGCGUGAAGCCUGUGGUUUAAUUGGAGUCAAUGUUGGGAAUUUUAUUGGGAGUGAUAGUAGAGUGAAGGUUAAGUUGAAGAUUUUGUUAGAUAAGUUGAGAGGAGGUGCAUGGCCGUUGCCAGUUCGUGCCGUGAGGUGUUUUUUUAAGUGAGAUAAUGAAUGAGACCCGUGUCCCAUGUUGUUAUUAGAUUUUAAAGGGAUGUUGGGUAUUUUUGGGGGAUUGUAGCCGAUAAGGCUGAGGAAGGUACGGGCAACGGCAGGUUAGUAUGCCCCGAAUUUUUUGGGCUAUACGCGGGCUGCAAUGGUAUGGAUAGAGGGUUGUAAUUUUGAAAGGAGAAGUUAACCCUUAAAUUGUACCUCAGUUGGGAUCGAGGGCUGUAAUUUGCCCUCGUGAACAUGGAAUGCCUAGUAACCGCCGGUUAUUAUUUGGCGGUGAAUAUGUCCCUGCUCCUUGUAUAUAUUGCCCGUUGAAUUAUUUGAAUGAGGUUUGGGUGAAGCAUGGUCGAUAGUUGGCCGUGUCGAACCUGGGCUUCGUAAGGAGGGUUAAGUUGUAAUAAGGUG
RNAcentral lists this ribosomal RNA (1458 nucleotides) under metagenome. Its description in RNAcentral is "bacterial SSU rRNA". It matches the Rfam family "Archaeal small subunit ribosomal RNA". The record is from RNAcentral.